UACAGAGGGGGCAAGCGUUGUUCGGAAUUACUGGGCGUAAAGGGCGCGUAGGCGGCCUUCUAAGUCGAACGUGAAAUCCCCGGGCUCAACCCGGGAACUGCGUCCGAUACUGGAAGGCUUGAAUCCGGGAGAGGGAUGCGGAAUUCCAGGUGUAGCGGUGAAAUGCGUAGAUAUCUGGAGGAACACCGGUGGCGAAGGCGGCUCACUGGUCCGGUACUGACGCUGAGGUGCGAAAGCGUGGGGAGCAAACAGG
Molecule: ribosomal RNA, 253 nt
Filed under: uncultured bacterium
Lineage: Bacteria
Description: partial 16S ribosomal RNA
Rfam family: Bacterial small subunit ribosomal RNA
Source: RNAcentral